GCCCCGGUAAACGGCGGCCGUAACUAUAACGGUCCUAAGGUAGCGAAAUUCCUUGUCGGGUAAGUUCCGACCUGCACGAAUGGCGUAAUGAUGGCCAGGCUGUCUCCACCCGAGACUCAGUGAAAUUGAACUCGCUGUGAAGAUGCAGUGUACCCGCGGCAAGACGGAAAGACCCCGUGAACCUUUACUAUAGCUUGACACUGAACAUUGAGCCUUGAUGUGUAGGAUAGGUGGGAGGCUUUGAAGUGUGGACGCCAGUCUGCAUGGAGCCGACCUUGAAAUACCACCCUUUAAUGUUUGAUGUUCUAACGUUGGCCCGUAAUCCGGGUUGCGGACAGUGUCUGGUGGGUAGUUUGACUGGGGCGGUCUCCUCCUAAAGAGUAACGGAGGAGCACGAAGGUUGGCUAAUCCUGGUCGGACAUCAGGAGGUUAGUGCAAUGGCAUAAGCCAGCUUGACUGCGAGCGUGACGGCGCGAGCAGGUGCGAAAGCAGGUCAUAGUGAUCCGGUGGUUCUGAAUGGAAGGGCCAUCGCUCAACGGAUAAAAGGUACUCCGGGGAUAACAGGCUGAUACCGCCCAAGAGUUCAUAUCGACGGCGGUGUUUGGCACCUCGAUGUCGGCUCAUCACAUCCUGGGGCUGAAGUAGGUCCCAAGGGUAUGGCUGUUCGCCAUUUAAAGUGGUACGCGAGCUGGGUUUAGAACGUCGUGAGACAGUUCGGUCCCUAUCUGCCGUGGGCGCUGGAGAACUGAGGGGGGCUGCUCCUAGUACGAGAGGACCGGAGUGGACGCAUCACUGGUGUUCGGGUUGUCAUGCCAAUGGCACUGCCCGGUAGCUAAAUGCGGAAGAGAUAAGUGCUGAAAGCAUCUAAGCACGAAACUUGCC
This 882-nucleotide ribosomal RNA is filed under the name Escherichia coli. RNAcentral's name for it is "partial 23S ribosomal RNA". It matches the Rfam family "Bacterial large subunit ribosomal RNA", at positions 1917 to 2798 of the family's 2925-position model. Lineage: Bacteria; Pseudomonadati; Pseudomonadota; Gammaproteobacteria; Enterobacterales; Enterobacteriaceae. The record is from RNAcentral.